AAUGUACUCCCUCCGUUCGGAAUUACUUGUCGCAGAAAUGGAUGUACCUAGAAUACGUCUAGGUACAUCCAUUUCUGCGACAAGUAAUUCCGAACGGAGGGAGUAAGAA
Non-coding RNA from Triticum aestivum (bread wheat), 109 nucleotides. Lineage: Eukaryota; Viridiplantae; Streptophyta; Magnoliopsida; Poales; Poaceae. The record is from Rfam.